This 88-nucleotide transfer RNA is filed under the name Clostridium homopropionicum DSM 5847. It matches the Rfam family "tRNA". Rfam says of the family: Transfer RNA (tRNA) molecules are approximately 80 nucleotides in length. Their secondary structure includes four short double-helical elements and three loops (D, anti-codon, and T loops). Lineage: Bacteria; Bacillati; Bacillota; Clostridia; Eubacteriales; Clostridiaceae. The record is from Rfam by way of RNAcentral.
GGAGAGGUGGCCGAGUGGUCUAAGGCAGUUGACUCGAAAUCAACCGUGGGGUUUUGCUCCACCAAGGGUUCAAAUCCCUUCUUCUCCG